This 203-nucleotide unclassified non-coding RNA is filed under the name Hevea brasiliensis (rubber tree). The record is from RNAcentral. Lineage: Eukaryota; Viridiplantae; Streptophyta; Magnoliopsida; Malpighiales; Euphorbiaceae.
GGUGAACAAGACGAAGGUGUUGAAGCCUGAUUUUGUCCUUAUUGGAUUUGGAUGACCUGGAAAGGAAUAAUAAUGAUGACAAACUCUUAACUCUACUUUGUCCAUUUGAUACUUCAACAUAGUAAAGACCAUCUUUUUCCUUAGCAUGUCCAAUCAUCCUCUUCAUGCCUUGUUCCUGUAAUACACAAUGGGAUGGAUAAAAA